CCUACGGGAGGCAGCAGUGAGGAAUAUUGGUCAAUGGACGCAAGUCUGAACCAGCCAUGCCGCGUGCAGGAAGACGGCUCUAUGAGUUGUAACCUGCUUUUGUACGAGGGUAAACGCAGAUACGCGUAUCUGUCUGAAAGUAUCGUACGAAUAAGGAUCGGCUAACUCCGUGCCAGCAGCCGCGGUCAUACGGAGGAUUCAAGCGUUAUCCGGAUUUAUUGGGUUGAAAGGGUGCGUAGGCGGUCGGAUAAGUUAGAGGUGAAAUCCUGAGGCUCAACUUCGGAAUUGCAUCUGAUACUGUUCGGCUAGAGAGUAGUUGCGGUAGGCGGAAUGUAUGGUGUAGCGGUGAAAUGCUUAGAGAUCAUACAGAACACCGAUUGCGAAGGCAGCUUACCAAGCUACUUCUGACGUUGAGGCACGAAAGCGUGGGGAGCAAACAGGAUUAGAUACCCGUGUAGUC
RNAcentral lists this ribosomal RNA (460 nucleotides) under uncultured bacterium. RNAcentral's name for it is "partial 16S ribosomal RNA". It matches the Rfam family "Bacterial small subunit ribosomal RNA", at positions 338 to 795 of the family's 1533-position model. The record is from RNAcentral.